This 478-nucleotide ribosomal RNA is filed under the name uncultured bacterium. RNAcentral describes it as "bacterial SSU rRNA". It matches the Rfam family "Bacterial small subunit ribosomal RNA", at positions 19 to 518 of the family's 1533-position model. The record is from RNAcentral.
AUGGCUCAGGACGAACGCUGGCGGCAUGCUUCAUACAUGCAAGUCGAACGAUAAGGUCUCUUCGGAGAUACAUAAGUGGCGGACGGGUGAGUAAUAUGUAGGAAAUCUGCCCUUGAGAGGGGGACAACGGUUGGAAACGACCGCUAAUACCCCAUAUGAGCGUACCUGAAAUGGUAUUCUUGAAAACUCCGGUGCUCAAGGAUGAGCCUGCAUCUGAUUAGCUUGUUGGCGGUGUAAUGGACCACCAAGGCGACGAUCAGUAGCUGGUUUGAGAGGAUGAUCAGCCACAAUGGGACUGAGACACGGCCCAUACUCCUACGGGAGGCAGCAGUAGGGAAUUUUGCGCAAUGGGCGAAAGCCUGACGCAGCAAUGCCGCGUGAACGUAGAAGCCCUUCGGGGUGUAAAGUUCUGUCAGUGGGGACGAAUUUUGACGGUACCCACAGAGGAAGCACCGGCUAACUCCGUGCCAGCCGCGGC